UUUUAAUUGAAACCAAAAUAGCGGUUUAUCACUGUUAAUGAUAAAAAUGAGAAUUACUCCAAUUAAA
RNAcentral lists this transfer RNA (67 nucleotides) under Trirhabda virgata. Its description in RNAcentral is "tRNA-Asn". The record is from RNAcentral. Lineage: Eukaryota; Metazoa; Arthropoda; Insecta; Coleoptera; Chrysomelidae.